UCAUAAUAACGUACUUAUCACCAAAAAAAAAAAAGAAAUCAUAGCUUCAUUCAUCUAAAACUAGAGUGGGGACUUUUUGGUCAUAUCACAAUCAAUGACAUAAUAAAAGCGUCGGAGGAUGGAUGUGACGGAGUCGGCGGUGGCGGAGAUAUUGAAAUUGACGAGAGACAGAGCCAAAGCUCCGAACCACGCCAUGUCUCUAGUCCCCGGCGGAAUCGCUGUUCCCCUUUUUUGUUAAGACUAGGAAAGCUCAGAGUCAGAGGCAUGUCCAGAGUUUGAUCGUCGUAUCCUUGGGCUUAUCAAUAUCAGCUGACUCUCAGAGUUUGCUCUCAUGCUUUGCCCACCACAAGGGCUUAGUGGCGGAUGCCUUGAUCGUCCUCUCGGAGUUGUCCCUGAACAGAAUCCAAAGGCUAGAAGCUCUUUUCAGAAGAUUUGAAACCUGCUUCUUGCUCAUACCAACAUCAUUUGAGGAGCAUGACAAUCUUCUUUCCUUGGCAUAUGACAACUGCUCAUCUGAUCCUGCCCCACCCUCAUCCUCGCUACACGAAGCCCAUUCACUUCCUGAUUCCGAUGGUUCCCGGAGAUUAUCCUUUUCACACGUUUUUGCCCGUUCCACAACCCUAUAUGCAAACAUUUGAAAAGGAACCUGUGAAACUUUGGUUAGCUCUGUAGAUUCCCAAGAAAGCUUCUGCAAUAGCUUUGUCUCGAUCUCGCAGUAAUCCACAGUAGGCGCAAUGGACGGGUCUUGUUGGCUACUACUGUAACAUUCCGGGUUCAAAGCUAGAAACCGUUUGAUAUACCGGAGAAUUCUGCUUAUCGAUGAGAAAGUUGGACGCUGAUUGGGAUCAGCAUGCCAGCAUCGUUUUGUCAGGUGGCUAUCUUCAAAUGGUACUUUACCUGUCAGAAGCUCAAAGCUAACCAUCCCAAAGCUAUACACGUCAGAUUUAUCACUAUACUUAAGGCUUCCUGCAGUUCCACUCUGUUCUUGCUCCUCUAGAACUUCUGGAGAAUACCAUAUGAAUGGAAAAUUCUCAUUCUGACUCGUCAAAGAAGCACUUUUACUAGAGAAUCCCUUGACAGAAUUCAACCCGAACCCAAAAAUCUUCCCAAGCAGAUACCCAUCUCCGGAUUGGUUACUUCUUGGUUUGACAAGAAUGUUUGAUGGAUUCAACUCUCCGUGGUAUAUUCUCUUCGAGUGAAGAUAUUCCAUACCCAAAGCUAUCUGAAGCAUCAGAUCAACCGCGACCGGGAGGGAGAGAGUGUUCUUCUUCCUAGGACCACAUACCUCUUUGAUGUGCAUUCCAAGGGUUUUCCUCAUCAGUUCCAUGACCAAGAAACACUCUUUCUUCUCCUCAUCCGUGAAUCCGCAGAGGUAAUAUACAAUGUUUGGGUGUGAAAGAGAUAGCAAUGGAGUAAUCUGAGGAAGCAAAGCAUCAAUAUCCCCAAAGAAAUGCCUAAGCGCAAAGCUCUCGCCUAACCAGAAGAGAAGAAGGAAAUAGCUUGGGGCUCUCAUUUCCAUCUCCCAAAUGCUUCAAAAGGAAAUCAGCCAUCUUCCGUUCAUGUUUGCUCGAACCGGACUGCUUUUUCUCCUGAAGCUCCUUGAUCAGAAUCCAACGGUCCUCUGUCCAAGCACUCUCGAACCGGUUGCAGAAAUCCUCGGUCACCAAAUACUCUCUCCCAAACUUCCAGGUAAACAUCUGAGAGUCAUUCCAUUGCUUCAUAUACUUGUUAGAAUGCACCAACCUCUUCUUGCUCAUCUCUUCUUCAUCCCACCCUGAAACCUCACUCGCUGUCUCAAUAGCCUCGACGAUGAUCGGUAGACAAGAGAGCAAGUUAUGUAUGUGAAGCUCUGUGCAAUCUCUAUUGCUAUGCAACACAAUAGCCUUAGCCCAAAACCCAAGUUUAGGCUCUAAAGACAUUCUAACAUAAGCCUCUCCUUCUCUAACCACCCAUAGAAGCUCCCUUAAGGGCUGUUCUAGUAUCUUCCAUUUAGUGUUCUUCUCUUUGAAGCGUAGAUUGGAUCGCAUCGACACAGAAAUUGACUCGUAGGCUGCGGUGAAGAGGUCGAGUAAUAGAGAGCAUUGACGCUGGUUGAUUUGAAUGCUGUCCUUGAACACCAUUAACGCUCUUAUGCUUCCUAAUACCUCUCCUAUCUCUCGAAAUUGAUCCAUUUCACACCUCUUCAAUUGUACACAAGGCCUUCGGAAUUUGUAUUAUAAAUUAUUGUACUCAUAAGAAAUCGUAUCACAGGAAUGGAUUUGUGAAAGAAAUUCUCUACUUGAGAUGUACGGACACAUCAUACGGAUAAUAAGUUAUAUUUGGCAAUUGUAGCCUUUGUUUGUUUUAUUUACUGAAGUUUGUUUUUUAUAACAAACGCGCAUGAUAG
Molecule: long non-coding RNA, 2386 nt
Filed under: Arabidopsis thaliana (thale cress)
Lineage: Eukaryota; Viridiplantae; Streptophyta; Magnoliopsida; Brassicales; Brassicaceae
Description: ncRNA (AT1G01448)
Source: RNAcentral